UCGGGAAUUUUGCUCAAUGGGGGAAACCCUGAAGCAGCAACGCCGCGUGAGGGAUGAAGGCCUUCGGGUUGUAAACCUCUUUUUCAGGGACGCGGUACCUGAAGAAUAAGUCACGGCUAACUACGUGCCAGCAGCCGCGGUAAUACGUAGGUGACCAGCGUUGUCCGGAUUUACUGGGCGUAAAGAGCGCGCAGGCGGUCCUUCAAGUCGAGUGUGAAAGCCCCCGGCUCAACUGGGGAGGGUCAUUCGAUACUGAUGGACUCGAAGGCAGGAGAGGGAAGCGGAAUUCCCGGUGUAGUGGUGAAAUGCGUAGAUAUCGGGAGGAACACCAGUGGCGAAGGCGGCUUCCUGGCCUGUUCUUGACGCUAAGGCGCGAAAGCUA
RNAcentral lists this ribosomal RNA (382 nucleotides) under uncultured bacterium. Its description in RNAcentral is "bacterial SSU rRNA". It matches the Rfam family "Bacterial small subunit ribosomal RNA", at positions 355 to 762 of the family's 1533-position model. The record is from RNAcentral.